UUCGCCCUUAGAGUUUGAUUCUGGCUCAGGACGAACGCUGGCGGCGUGCCUAACACAUGCAAGUCGAGCGGAGGUAUAUACGAAGAAGUUUUCGGACGAAAUUGUAUAUACUUUAGCGGCGGACGGGUGAGUAACGCGUGAGCAACCUGCCUUUCACAGGGGGAUAAGGCGGCNNAAGCCGCUCUAAUACCGCAUGAGACCACGGUGAUGAUAUUACAGGGGUCAAAGGAGCAAUCCGGUGAAAGAUGGGCUCGCGUCCGAUUAGGUAGUUGGUGGGGUAACGGCCCACCAAGCCCGUGAUCGGUAGCCGGCCUGAGAGGGUGAACGGCCACAUUGGAACUGAGACACGGUCCAAACUCCUACGGGAGGCAGCAGUGGGGAAUAUUGGGCAAUGGGGGGAACCCUGACCCAGCAACGCCGCGUGAGGGAAGAAGGUUUUCGGAUUGUAAACCUCUGUUCUUGGGGAAGAGUGAAAGACGGUACCCAAGGAGGAAGCCCCGGCUAACUACGUGCCAGUAGCCGCGGUAAUACGUAGGGGGCGAGCGUUGUCCGGAAUGAUUGGGCGUAAAGGGCGCGUAGGCGGCUUUGCAAGUCAGUAGUGGAAGUCCAUUUUUCAAGGAUGGAAGUGCUACAGAAACUGCGGAGCUUGAGUGCAGGAGAGGUUAUCGGAAUUCCCGGUGUAGCGGUGAAAUGCGUAGAGAUCGGGAGGAACACCAGUGGCGAAGGCGGGUAACUGGACUGCAACUGACGCUGAGGCGCGAAAGUGUGGGGAGCAAACAAAAUUAGAUACCCUGGUAGUCCACACUGUAAACGAUGAAUGCUAGGUGUAGGAGGUAUCGACCCCCUCUGUGCCGCAGUAAACACAGUAAGCAUUCCGCCUGGGGAGUACGGUCGCAAGAUUAAAACUCAAAGGAAUUGACGGGGGCCCGCACAAGCAGCGGAGCAUGUGGUUUAAUUCGAAGCAACGCGAAGAACCUUACCAGGUCUUGACAUCCCUCUGCCGUGCACUGUAGUGGUGCAUUUCCCUUCGGGGACAGAGGAGACAGGUGGUGCAUGGUUGUCGUCAGCUCGUGUCGUGAGAUGUUGGGUUAAGUCCCGCAACGAGCGCAACCCCUAUUUCUAGUUGCCAUCAGGUAAAGCUGGGCACUCUAGAGAGACUGCCGGAGACAAUCCGGAGGAAGGUGGGGAUGAUGUCAAAUCAUCAUGCCCUUUAUGAUUUGGGCUACAAACGUGCUACAAUGGUCGGUACAACGGGCAGCGAACCGGUAACGGGGAGCCAAUCUCAAAAAGCCGAUCUCAGUUCGGAUUGAGGGCUGCAACUCGCCCUCAUGAAGUUGGAGUUGCUAGUAAUCGCGAAUCAGCAUGUCGC
Molecule: ribosomal RNA, 1369 nt
Filed under: uncultured bacterium
Lineage: Bacteria
Description: 16S ribosomal RNA
Rfam family: Bacterial small subunit ribosomal RNA
Source: RNAcentral